CGUGUAGGCGGUUUGGCAAGUCAGAUGUGAAAGCCCUGGGCUCAACUCAGGAAGUGCAUUUGAAACUGCCGAACUAGAGUAUGGGAGAGGAGAGUGGAAUUCCCAGUGUAGAGGUGAAAUUCGUAGAUAUUGGGAGGAACACCCGUGGCGAAGGCGACUCUCUGGACCAAUACUGACGCUGAGACGCGAAAGCGUGGGGAGCAAACAGGAUUAGAUACCCUGGUAGUCC
RNAcentral lists this ribosomal RNA (229 nucleotides) under uncultured bacterium. Its description in RNAcentral is "partial 16S ribosomal RNA". It matches the Rfam family "Bacterial small subunit ribosomal RNA", at positions 568 to 796 of the family's 1533-position model. The record is from RNAcentral.